RNAcentral lists this RNase P RNA (387 nucleotides) under Lentibacillus salicampi. Its description in RNAcentral is "Bacterial RNase P class B". It matches the Rfam family "Bacterial RNase P class B". From Rfam's summary of the family: Ribonuclease P (RNase P) is a ubiquitous endoribonuclease, found in archaea, bacteria and eukarya as well as chloroplasts and mitochondria. Its best characterised activity is the generation of mature 5'-ends of tRNAs by cleaving the 5'-leader elements of precursor-tRNAs. Cellular RNase Ps are ribonucleoproteins. The record is from Rfam by way of RNAcentral. Lineage: Bacteria; Bacillati; Bacillota; Bacilli; Caryophanales; Bacillaceae.
AUGCUUGCGUAAUCGCUGUAUAUACCAUAUAUACAGAGGAAAGUCCAUGCUCACACAGGCUGCGAGGCCUGUAGUGUUCGUGCUUGACGAAAUCAUAAGUCAAGGUAACGGUUAACGUUAACGGCAGUGGAACGUCCUAAUUCGAAAGAUAUGGGUCAGUACACUUGAAAGUGCCACAGUGACGCAGUCGGGUUGGAAACGAUUCGAAUGGAACGCGGUAAACCCCACGAGUGAGCAACCCAAAAAUAGGUAGGGGCAUCCUUGAUUAGGGAAGUGAACCGAAAAAGGGACGGGUAUUUAUGCAAAUACCUGCAGAUAGAUGAUUACGACCGAUGUACAAGGCUGACCACCGUCCAAGUACAGCGGAACAGAACAUGGCUUAUCAAG